CAGGAGGUCAGUUCACAGUACCCAGAAACUCUACGAGUGGUAGAAAAGU
Molecule: small RNA, 49 nt
Filed under: Plasmodium falciparum 3D7
Lineage: Eukaryota; Apicomplexa; Aconoidasida; Haemosporida; Plasmodiidae
Description: Pfa-raR6331
Source: RNAcentral